CUGAGCUUCAGCUGUUAUGUCAGUUCUUUGAUAUACGCAUGUGGCGCCCUUCGUGGCUAAAUGAAAUGAAAUCAUUAGUAAAACAUAAUCAAUAUUCAUAAUAUUCACUUUUAUUGUCUUGCCUGCUGAAGAGGCGUUAGAAAUUUAUGCUUUUUUUAACUAUACUAAGAAGUUUUGAGUUGAUUUUGUUUUCAAUAUUGAAAAAUUCUGAAGGUAUGGACUUUAAUAUUAUUAAUUAUUUACUGCAAGAAAUUCACAAAUUCAUUGCUAUGUAGUUGGUUGCCACAAUUCAUAUUACAAUAAGAAAAAGUAGCUCGAGAAAGAAGGAAAGAUAUGGAUUAUUAGUGUGAGAAGAGUUUGAUAAGAAUAUUUGAGAAAUGAUAGCAAAUGUCUCUCAUCUAAAAUUUAUUGUAGUGCUGAUCAUACUUUGAGAGAAAUGGCAACCUGAAGUAUUCCAUAAAAUAUGCAGUGCUCAUUUUGUGUGAAACGUGAGGAAUAAUGGUCAUGAGAGAACUUCAUUUAACCCAAAGAUUUGUAGAGAAGUAUAAAAAACGGAUACCUAAUUCCUCUACAAAAAUGAAGAGAUAUAAAAGAAAAAUGGUCUGAUCUAGUAGAAAGUAUAUUUCCAAGGAGGAAUCACUUUUAAAAUCUCCAUUCGUUUUAUGAAGACAAAAAUGUUUCAAUGGAAGUUUAAGGAGGAAAAAAGGAAUUUUCAUGUCAAAUUGAUCCAAGUGAUUUGGAAGAUGAUAUCUUUUUAUUUUCAUCAGUAAUUUAAUGGACUAUGGUGCCAAGGGAAUGUGUGAUGGGAUAACUUACUGCCAUAGGAUAAAUAAAUGAUAUGUAAAAUCAAUGCAGUAUUUGAUAAUAAUAAUAAUUUAUUUGCACACAAGAAAUCCAUGAAAAGAUACGCCAUCAAAAGUUUACAUGGCUUGUCAAUCAAAAAAUCUUAAACUAUAAAUGAAUAGUAUUAACAGUCAUUGUAAUGAAAAAAUAAAUAUGUUUGUAGUUACAAAUUAUCAAAUAAUAUUUACAAAAAUGAUUCCUAAAUAAAUCACUCAACCUGUA
Long non-coding RNA from Harmonia axyridis, 1065 nucleotides. RefSeq lists it as uncharacterized. The transcript has 2 exons. The record is from RefSeq and is a predicted model, not a curated record. Lineage: Eukaryota; Metazoa; Arthropoda; Insecta; Coleoptera; Coccinellidae.